This 466-nucleotide ribosomal RNA is filed under the name uncultured bacterium. RNAcentral describes it as "bacterial SSU rRNA". It matches the Rfam family "Bacterial small subunit ribosomal RNA", at positions 29 to 506 of the family's 1533-position model. The record is from RNAcentral.
ACGAACGCUGGCGGCGUGCUUAACACAUGCAAGUCAGGGGGUGGGGCAACCCAUCACCGGCGAACGGGUGCGUAACACGUGAGCGACCUGCCUUCGAGUGGGGGAUAGCCGGCCCAACGGCCGGGUAAUACCGCAUACGUCACCGGGGGGGCAUCCUCUUGGUGAGAAACCACUUGGGCUCGGAGAGGGGCUCGCGGCCUAUCAGCUAGUUGGCGAGGUAACGGCUCACCAAGGCGAUGACGGGUAGCUGGUCUGAGAGGAUGGCCAGCCACAUUGGGACUGAGAGACGGCCCAGACUCCUACGGGAGGCAGCAGUGGGGAAUCUUGCGCAAUGGCCGAAAGGCUGACGCAGCGACGCCGCGUGGGGGAUGAAGGCCUUCGGGUUGUAAACCCCUGUUGCCCGGGACGAACAGCGCCAUUCGUGGCGCCUGACGGUACCGGGUGAGGAAGCACCGGCUAACUCUGU